CCCUUAGAUGUUCUGGGCCGCACGCGCGCUACACUGAUGCGUUCAACAAGUUUCCUUGGCCGAGAGGCCUGGGCAAUCUUCUUAAUAUGUAUCGUGAUAGGGAUAGAUUAUUGCAGUUAUUAAUCUUGAACGAGGAAUUCCUAGUAAACGCAGAUCAUCAAUCUGCAUUGAUUACGUCCCUGCCCUUUGUACACACCGCCCGUCGCACCUACCGAUUGGAUGUUCCGGUGAAGCCUCGGGAUGAGGACUGGUGCCUUUAUUGGCAUGAGUUGUUCAGAACUUGUCUAAACCUUAUCAUCUAGAGGAAGGUGAAGUCGUAACA
This 322-nucleotide ribosomal RNA is filed under the name uncultured eukaryote. RNAcentral's name for it is "partial 18S ribosomal RNA". It matches the Rfam family "Eukaryotic small subunit ribosomal RNA", at positions 1470 to 1796 of the family's 1831-position model. The record is from RNAcentral.